Molecule: ribosomal RNA, 432 nt
Filed under: uncultured bacterium
Lineage: Bacteria
Description: bacterial SSU rRNA
Rfam family: Bacterial small subunit ribosomal RNA
Source: RNAcentral
AACGACGCUGGCGGCAUGCCUAACACAUGCAAGUCGAACGAAGCCUUCGGGCUUAGUGGCGCACGGGUGCGUAACACGUGGGAAUCUGCCCUUCGGUUCGGAAUAACAGUUAGAAAUGACUGCUAAUACCGGAUGAUGACGUAAGUCCAAAGAUUUAUCGCCGAAGGAUGAGCCCGCGUAGGAUUAGGUAGUUGGUAGGGUAAUGGCCUACCAAGCCGACGAUCCUUAGCUGGUCUGAGAGGAUGAUCAGCCACACUGGGACUGAGACACGGCCCAGACUCCUACGGGAGGCAGCAGUGGGGAAUAUUGGACAAUGGGCGAAAGCCUGAUCCAGCAAUGCCGCGUGAGUGAUGAAGGCCUUAGGGUUGUAAAGCUCUUUUACCAGGGAUGAUAAUGACAGUACCUGGAGAAUAAGCUCCGGCUAACUCCGUG